GACAGAGGGUGCAAGCGUUGUUCGGAGUUACUGGGCGUAAAGCGUGCGUAGGCGGUGUCUUAAGUUUGUUGGGAAAUCUCCCGGCUUAACCGGGAGGGUGCGGCGAAUACUGAGAUGCUGGAGUGCCGGAGAGGUAAGCGGAAUUCCUGGUGUAGCGGUGAAAUGCGUAGAUAUCAGGAGGAACACCUGCGGUGUAGACGGCUUACUGGACGGUAACUGACGCUGAGGCACGAAAGCGUGGGUAGCAAACAGG
This 253-nucleotide ribosomal RNA is filed under the name uncultured bacterium. Its description in RNAcentral is "partial 16S ribosomal RNA". It matches the Rfam family "Bacterial small subunit ribosomal RNA", at positions 524 to 776 of the family's 1533-position model. The record is from RNAcentral.